Molecule: ribosomal RNA, 253 nt
Filed under: uncultured bacterium
Lineage: Bacteria
Description: partial 16S ribosomal RNA
Rfam family: Bacterial small subunit ribosomal RNA
Source: RNAcentral
UACGUAGGGGGCAAGCGUUGUCCGGAAUCAUUGGGCGUAAAGAGCGUGUAGGCGGCUCGGUAAGUCCGCUGUGAAAGUCCAGGGCUCAACCCUGGAAUGCCGGUGGAAACUGUCGAGCUAGAGUCCGGAAGAGGCGAGUGGAAUUCCUGGUGUAGCGGUGAAAUGCGCAGAUAUCAGGAGGAACACCAAUGGCGAAGGCAGCUCGCUGGGACGGUACUGACGCUGAUGCGCGAAAGCGUGGGGAGCAAACGGG